AUGCCUAAUACAUGCAAGUCGAACGCUUUUGGGGUUUCGGCUCCAAGGGAGUGGCGCACGGGUGAGUAGCGCGUGGGAACCUGCCCUGUUGUGGGGGAUAACCGAGGGAAACUUCGGCUAAUACCGCAUGCGCCCCCGGCCUGAUCUUCGGAUUAGUCCUGGGGGGAAAGAUUUUAUCGCAGCAGGAGGGGCCCGCGUCGGAUUAGCUGGUUGGCGGGGUAACGGCCCACCAAGGCGAUGAUCCGUAGCUGGUCUGAGAGGAUGAUCAGCCACACUGGGACUGAGACACGGCCCAG
This 296-nucleotide ribosomal RNA is filed under the name uncultured bacterium. RNAcentral describes it as "partial 16S ribosomal RNA". It matches the Rfam family "Bacterial small subunit ribosomal RNA", at positions 45 to 334 of the family's 1533-position model. The record is from RNAcentral.